GGACUACUGGGGUAUCUAAUCCUGUUUGCUCCCCACGCUUUCGCGCCUUAGCGUCAGUGUCGAUCCAGGAGGCCGCCUUCGCCACUGGUAUUCCUUCCUAUAUCUACGCAUUUCACCGCUACACAGGAAAUUCUACCUCCCUCUACCGCACUCUAGUUCGCCAGUUUGAAAUGCAAUUCCCAGGUUAAGCCCGGGGCUUUCACAUCCCACUUAACAAACCGCCUACGCGCGCUUUACGCCCAGUGAUUCCGAUUAACGUUCGCACCCUCCGUAUUACCGCGGCUGCUGGCAC
Molecule: ribosomal RNA, 292 nt
Filed under: uncultured bacterium
Lineage: Bacteria
Also listed under: 1 other name
Description: partial 16S ribosomal RNA
Source: RNAcentral